AUCUCUUCUCGGCCUUUUGGCUAAGAUCAAGUGUAGUAUCAAGGUGCCAACACAUUCUAUGUCUGGGGGUGAGGCUGCUUUCUGGUUCACAGAUGGUGCCUUUUAGCUUUGUUCUCACAGGACUAGCUAGUUGUCUGGAGUCUCUCUUGUAAGAACUCAUAUCCUAUUAGGUUGUCCUUAAUAUUAUAAUAAUAUUAUGUCAUGACUUAAUCAC
This 214-nucleotide small nuclear RNA is filed under the name Tupaia belangeri chinensis (Chinese tree shrew). RNAcentral's name for it is "Tupaia chinensis (Chinese tree shrew) U2 spliceosomal RNA". The stretch from base 1 to 147 matches the Rfam family "U2 spliceosomal RNA". From Rfam's summary of the family: U2 is a small nuclear RNA (snRNA) component of the spliceosome (involved in pre-mRNA splicing). Complementary binding between U2 snRNA (in an area lying towards the 5' end but 3' to hairpin I) and the branchpoint sequence (BPS) of the intron results the bulging out of an unpaired adenosine, on the BPS, which initiates a nucleophilic attack at the intronic 5' splice site, thus starting the first of two transesterification reactions that mediate splicing. Lineage: Eukaryota; Metazoa; Chordata; Mammalia; Scandentia; Tupaiidae. The record is from Rfam by way of RNAcentral.